UGUGGCAGUAUAUCUGCCGAACCACCGGAGAGUGUUAUGGAGGCCUACGAGCAGGUCCAAAAGGGACCCCUGAAGCUGAAAGGCGUCGCAGAGCUGGGAGUGACCAAGCGGAAGAAGAAAAAGAAGGACAAAGACAAAGCGAAACUCCUGGAAGCAAUGGGAACGAGCAAAAAGAACGAGGAGGAGAAGCGGCGCGGCCUGGACAAGCGGACCCCGGCCCAGGCGGCCUUCGAGAAAAUGCAGGAGAAGCGGCAGGGCCAUCAGACUUCCUACACAGCAACUGGCUUCCAAGGGCACAAAGCUAACGCUGCCAGGUCUUAUGCAUGGACCCAGAACUGGUACUGCGUUCCUUUGAGUUAACUGAGUCCACGGCCAGCAAAUGGAAAGGAUCCUAAAGAAAGCAUCCAAAACCCACAAGCAGAGAGUGGAGGACUUCAACAGACACCUGGACACACUCACGGAGCAUUAUGAUAUUCCCAAAGUCAGCUGGACGAAGUAGCCACCUGUCCCGGUAUAGAGCAGCAUCGAGGAUUCGCAAAAGACCACCCUGGGGUUGGGUGUGUUUCCUUUGGUAUAUUCUAGAAACAUGGCUUUACACACACCCUUGCAUCUUCUGCUACAGACUGCUUUUCGAAGCUGUGUGCCCUCAUUCUGGAACUUGAUUAAAGUAAGAUUGUCCUUGUACUCAGUUGAGGCUUCUUGGCAACGUACAGAAGAUACACCCUUUUCGUUUGGAUGGAAAGUUUCUAAGUUUAUCCAGAGGUAAAGCCCAUUGUGUGUCCGUGCCAUGUAAAAAUGUUUUCACCCCUGAGUUGCAUCUAACGCUGUGAGGCCAGCCAGCUGUCUUCUCCUGGAUGAGACAGACUCCAGAGGAUAAGGAGCUAGCGCCAUGGUGGCCUGCAGUGUGCAGAGCCCCGCAGGACCCAGCGUGGGCACCCUUCCAAGCUUCCUCUAGCUUCGGGCCUAUGCUGUCCCCCGCAGGCCCCAGGGAAGUCACUUGCGACUCUGUGGCCUUCAGACUUCCUCCUCAGCCACCUAGCCACUGAGACAGUGCAGCCUGGGCAGCAGAACAGCCACCUAAGGCAAGAAUGGAACAGACACACCUUGUUCCUUUCUGAGUCCGUUCCCCAAAACCCUCCUUCCAGGUACUUCUAAUGGGUGUUUCCAUAGCAGACGUUGCUAAUGCAUCACAGCGUUCUCUGAAAUGAAACCCAGACACAGCCUGCCUCUCAAUCCUCAGCUGGGGGCUGCUAGCAGCCUCUUAUAUUUACUCAGAGUAAAUCACAUGGAUCCUGUUUGGCAUUCCUGCCGUACGGACGCCUCAGGGGUGACAGGACCAGGGCAGAGCCCCAGUACAAACAGGCAAGGCUGCAGUCAAAUGGGAGGGCCCAGGUGUUCGUGUUGGAGGGCUGGGAUCUUGUAGGGCCUAUGCGUCUUGGUUGAGGAUCAAACCACAUAUGCUGUUGGGAGAAACGAUCUCUGUCAACAUAGAUACUGAAAGAAUAAUGAAGGCAGAAGAGAAAAACCAAGUGUGGAGUUCAGGGUUGUCCUGUGUAAAUUACACAAUAAAGCAAAAGCCAGUU
Molecule: RNA transcript, 1583 nt
Organism: Mandrillus leucophaeus (drill)
Lineage: Eukaryota; Metazoa; Chordata; Mammalia; Primates; Cercopithecidae
Gene: FAM32A
Gene name: family with sequence similarity 32, member A
Exons: 5
Source: RefSeq, a predicted model, not a curated record